This 400-nucleotide ribosomal RNA is filed under the name uncultured eukaryote. RNAcentral describes it as "SSU rRNA". It matches the Rfam family "Eukaryotic small subunit ribosomal RNA", at positions 567 to 907 of the family's 1831-position model. The record is from RNAcentral.
CCAGCAGCCGCGGUAAUUCCAGCUCUAAUAGCGUAUAUUAAAGUUGUUGCGGUUAAAAAGCUCGUAGUCGAAGUUUGGUGGGUUCACUUUUGGUGCGCGAGGGCCUCCAUUGGGGGUUUUUCCGAGCGCAUCAACCCACUUCCCUAGUAGCGAUUCGGUCGUCUGGGGGUUUCCGUUGGGUUCCUGGCCGUUGGCCAUUCGCUUGGUCGCGGUCGGACUAUAGGGUCCAACAGGUUUACUUUGAGUAAAUUAGAGUGUUCAAAGCAGGCCCUUUUGUCGGGUCAUUGAAUACAUUAGCAUGGGAUAAUCGAAUAGGACUCGGGUCACUCAUUUGGUUGGGUUUGAAGGAUGCGAGUAAUGAUGAAUAGGGACAGUUGGGGGCAUUCGUAUUUAGCUGCUA